GCCGUAACUUCGGGAGAAGGCACGCUGACACGUAGGUGAAGCGGUUUACCCGUGGAGCUGAAGUCAGUCGAAGAUACCAGCUGGCUGCAACUGUUUAUUAAAAACACAGCACUGUGCAAACACGAAAGUGGACGUAUACGGUGUGACGCCUGCCCGGUGCCGGAAGGUUAAUUGAUGGGGUCAGCGCAAGCGAAGCUCCUGAUCGAAGCCCCGGUAAACGGCGGCCGUAACUAUAACGGUCCUAAGGUAGCGAAAUUCCUUGUCGGGUAAGUUCCGACCUGCACGAAUGGCGUAAUGAUGGCCAGGCUGUCUCCACCCGGGACUCAGUGAAAUUGAACUCGCUGUGAAGAUGCAGUGUACCCGCGGCAAGACGGAAAGACCCCGUGAACCUUUACUAUAGCUUGACACUGAACACUGGUCCUUGAUGUGCAGGAUAGGUGGGAGGCUUUGAAGUGUGGACGCCAGUCUGCAUGGAGCCGUCCUUGAAAUACCACCCUUUAAUGGCUGGUGUUCUAACGUAGACCCGUGAACCGGGUUGCGGACAGUGUCUGGUGGGUAGUUUGACUGGGGCGGUCUCCUCCUAAAGCGUAACGGAGGAGCACGAAGGUUGGCUAAUCCUGGUCGGACAUCAGGAGGUUAGUGCAAUGGCAUAAGCCAGCUUGACUGCGAGCGUGACGGCGCGAGCAGGUGCGAAAGCAGGUCAUAGUGAUCCGGUGGUUCUGAAUGGAAGGGCCAUCGCUCAACGGAUAAAAGGUACUCCGGGGAUAACAGGCUGAUACCGCCCAAGAGUUCAUAUCGACGGCGGUGUUUGGCACCUCGAUGUCGGCUCAUCACAUCCUGGGGCUGAAGUAGGUCCCAAGGGUAUGGCUGUUCGCCAUUUAAAGUGGUACGCGAGCUGGGUUUAGAACGUCGUGAGACAGUUCGGUCCCUAUCUGCCGUGGGCGCUGGAGAACUGAGGGGGGCUGCUCCUAGUACGAGAGGACCGGAGUGGACGCAUCACUGGUGUUCGGGUUGUCAUGCCAAUGGCACUGCCCGGUAGCUAAAUGCGGAAGAGAUAAGUGCUGAAAGCAUCUAAGCACGAAACUUGCCCCGAGAUGAGUUCUCCCUGAGACUACAAGUCUCCUGAAGGAACGUUGAAGACGACGACGUUGAUAGGCCGGGUGUGUAAGUGCAGCGAUGCGUUGAGCUAACCGGUACUAAUGAACCGUGAGGCUUAACCUU
RNAcentral lists this ribosomal RNA (1221 nucleotides) under Salmonella enterica. RNAcentral's name for it is "partial 23S ribosomal RNA". It matches the Rfam family "Bacterial large subunit ribosomal RNA", at positions 1727 to 2925 of the family's 2925-position model. Lineage: Bacteria; Pseudomonadati; Pseudomonadota; Gammaproteobacteria; Enterobacterales; Enterobacteriaceae. The record is from RNAcentral.